UUAGACGGCCAUAAUAUCUUGGUUACACCUGUUCCCAUUCCGAACACAGAAGUUAAGCUUGAUGUGUUCAUGUCUGUACUGCCUCUUGGUGGGAAAACAUGAAGCUGUCUACC
This 113-nucleotide ribosomal RNA is filed under the name Candidatus Pacearchaeota archaeon. The record is from RNAcentral. Lineage: Archaea; Nanobdellati.